RNA transcript from Jaculus jaculus (lesser Egyptian jerboa), 1552 nucleotides. It is a transcript of the gene named claudin 19, with no coding region annotated. The record is from RefSeq and is a predicted model, not a curated record. Lineage: Eukaryota; Metazoa; Chordata; Mammalia; Rodentia; Dipodidae. The transcript is spliced from 5 exons.
CAUUUGGCCUUUUCCAGCCCCUGGGCCGCCCCCUGCAUUCUGGAAUCCAGAGCCUUUGCCUCUGGUGCUGCUGCUGAGGCUGCCCGCCAGUCUCUCUGCUCCUCUGCUUCAGACCACUCUUUGCACAUCUGGCUCCAGCUGCCCCUGUCACCUGGCCAUGACCACAGCGCUUCCUGGGAUUCUGGCCCAGCUCUGAGCCCCGGGACUCAGGGCCUCCUCCCCGGGGCCAUGGCCAACUCGGGCCUCCAGCUCCUGGGAUACUUCCUGGCUCUGGGUGGCUGGGUGGGCAUCAUUGCCAGCACUGCCCUGCCCCAGUGGAAACAGUCCUCCUACGCAGGCGAUGCCAUCAUCACCGCCGUCGGCCUCUACGAAGGGCUGUGGAUGUCCUGCGCCUCUCAGAGCACUGGACAGGUGCAGUGCAAGCUCUAUGACUCGCUGCUCGCCCUGGACGGUCACAUCCAGUCAGCGCGAGCCCUGAUGGUGGUGGCCGUGCUCCUGGGCUUCGUGGCCAUGGUGCUCAGUGUUGUGGGCAUGAAGUGCACGCGGGUCGGAGACAGCAACCCCGUCGCCAAGGGCCGUGUGGCCAUCUCUGGGGGUGCCCUCUUCCUCCUGGCAGGCCUCUGCACCUUGACUGCCGUCUCGUGGUAUGCCACACUAGUGACCCAGGAAUUCUUCAACCCCAGCACACCUGUCAAUGCCAGGUUCGAAUUUGGCCCUGCUCUGUUCAUAGGCUGGGCCUCCGCUGGCCUGGCCAUGCUGGGGGGGUCCUUCCUCUGCUGCACAUGCCCGGAGCCUGAGAGAGCCAGCAGCACUCCACAGCCCUAUCGCCCUGGACCCUCAACUGCUGCCCGAGAGUACGUCUGAUCCUACCUGCCAUGCCCAGUCCUCACCCAACAGCCCCCUCACCCAGCACUCUAGCAGGUCCCCCACAGCACACUGGGCAGGGCCAGUGGGGUACUGAUGUCCCUUGAACUCAGUCUGAGGUACCAAGAAGCUGAUCUUCGACAUAGGCAGCCCUCCUGGGAUCUGAGAUAAACCCAGACACUCAGAACGAUCAGAGAUGAGGCCCAGCCCACACAUGGCACCUAGUAAGGCCUAUGCCUUGCCUUGCACAGCUUGGUGGACCCUAGCAUGCGUCCAUACCCCAAGACAGGGCCUCACACACCAGCCCAUCCCCCUGCCCUUCAUUUGCUCACUAAUUUACUGAAGGGGCCAUGUGUUUACUAUGACCUGACUCCAGAGGCCUCACAGUAACCAGAGGGACCUCAGUGCCCAGUGCUUUGGUCUGGGAUAGCCCUUCACCCUCCUGAAUCCACAGGGUCCUCAUAGUACUCCCACGAACAGAGGCUGCUCCAAGGAUAAGCUCUGGGACCCAUUGUUAAAUUGCCCGCCUCCGCCAAGGGUCCCCUGGGUGUGUAAUGUCCAGGUCCCAGCCAGGCCUUACCCCUUUGCCACAUCUAGACUGUAUGUUUAGUGUAUUUUUGUUGUUGUUGUUGUUGGGUUUUUUGUUUUGUUUUGAUUUUGGGGAAAAUAAGUAAACAUUCAGCUCUAA